Molecule: long non-coding RNA, 2038 nt
Organism: Onychostoma macrolepis
Lineage: Eukaryota; Metazoa; Chordata; Actinopteri; Cypriniformes; Cyprinidae
Exons: 3
Source: RefSeq, a predicted model, not a curated record
CUAUUCUUUACUAACGUUAUUAGAGCCUAAUUGUGAAUGUCGACUUUAUUUGAAACUCAAAUGGAGAACCGUGUGAGAGACAUGUAUGAAGGAGUGAAUCGUGAAGGAAUGACUAAAGCUCAGCGCAAAAGGUUUUGCAGUGAAAAGCUAAGUAAAAAUCGCAAUGUUCUAUUUAGAAUAUAUAAACAAGGUCAUCUACAUAUACUGCAAUUCAAUUCUAUUCACUUGGACGAGUGGGUGGAGUGCUUUAAAUCAUACCGGCAACUUAAAUUUCAGCAUAAUCCUACACGUAAUGCGUUCAGUCUCUGCAGUCAGUCAAGUGAAUUGCAAAAGUUUUGCAACGAAUACAAUCAAAACUUGGAAAUGGUUGAAGACACCGUCGCCGCCUGUAAUUGGCGCUGCGUCUACACGGCGUCAGACACGACCUCCGUCUAUGGCGCGUAGCGUACUCCGUCCGUGCCAAAACCAAACAUCUUUACGACCGCGCACCAUAUCCUCAAGCGUUGACGCCGGCGUCCCGUGUAAUUGCCGCGGCGUCAACAGUCGCCACCGGACACCACCUUCGGCGAGAAAAUGUUGAAUAUCGCAUUUCUCUUGUCCAAAUAAAUCUAAAUUCAAUAAUGAUAUGGUCUCUGUCUCAGUUAUUUAGUUAUUAUUAGAGGUCAACUAAUAAUGGAUUUUACUGAUAAAUGUAACUAGGUUGGACUGCACUGGCUGAUAACCGAUUAGUUCGUUUUAAAAUGGAUACUAAAUGAAGAAAAAUUGUAGGUAAAAUAGUGCUGAACUUGCAUUUUUUUUUUUUUAAGUGCUAAAAAUAACAAUGUAGUGUAAUUUUUAAAUAUACACACAUUAAUAUAUAAUUGUACCUAUGAUAAUAUAUUAAUUCCCUUCACUCAUGAUUGUUCAUAAUGCAUUAACUAACAGAUACAACUUUAAAAUGUAGAACUAUAUCGGUAAAUGUUGAAAUUAACAAGGAACAAUAUGCAUUUAUUAAUGUUUGUAUCUUAUUGUAAAGUUUUAUCUUGUCAUGUUGUUGUUUUUUGUGAGUGGUACAUCUGCUCCUUACAGGCCAGCAGCAAGUUGUUAGUUUUGUUUCACAGCAGACCAGAGAGCCAUUUAUGGAGCCGUGCUGAAGUCCUCCAGGACUGAGAUGGGUGUCAUCAAACCAGUAAAUACCAGUAUUGGGUGGGUUUUAUGGACCGCAACCUGCGAUUAAACUUAUGAUGAUCCGUCAUGUGACUUUCUGUUUAACCACCUGUGUUAUGGUUGAAUUUCGAAGAUGACAUCACCAUAACAAUUGAUGGUGUGGAGCUGUUAAUCUUCAUCAUUAGUCUACUUCACAUCACAUGUGUCCCGAUAUCCAUCAGCAUCUUAUUGUUUGUGUCUUGCCAGAGGAGGAUGGCACCCUCAGUUGAGUCUGGUUCCUCUCAAGGUUUUCCCUCCACUGCCUAAACCUCUUAUGGAGGGUUUUUUCCUUGCCACUGUCGCCUUUGGCUUGCUCACUGGGGGCUUUGAGGCACAACUUUGUUUAGCUCUUUUGAAAUUAAAAUGUCUAUACAACUUCAUUUGACCUUCAUGAUGUAGGAGAUUUUCUUACUCAAACUGGGAAAAUCUCUUCAUUUCAAGACUUUUCCAUAGUUGUGUUCAAGGAAGCAAAGGAAGGUUCAAGGGAACUUUUUUAAAAACCUCUUUAAACAUUAUUUGUUUUAUUUGUCUGGUUAAUUUUUUUUUUUUUUACAUUUUUUACAUUUAUUGUAUUUUUACUAACAUUUUCCAUUACUGUUAAACAAACUUUGUGAUGCAUUUUCAUGCACUUAUUUUAAUGAUAAAAGACUGUAAAAAUGCUACAAACCGGUAAUUGUUUAACAGUAUGUUUCCUUACUGUAACAGAUCUAACCUUACAUUUAAUGUAAUUUUAUAGUAAAAUACUAUUAUUUACAGUUUUGGAAGUAAAAAACAAGUAAUCUUCUUGUUUUGUGUGUUACCAUGAUGGUGUUUUUGUAUUCGUGUGUGUGUGUGUAAACAUGCAUAUCUUUGU